AAUCGAAUAAAGAACCAAGAAUGCAAUAGCGAUGAUUUAAUGAGAAAAAUCCAGUAGAGAUCAGAGGAAAGCCACGAACAAUCGAAGGAGGAAAAACGAAGAAGAUGGGAGGGGAAGAGGAAACGUCAGAGACAGAAAGAAAAUUUUAAAAAAAGAAAAAGAAAAUAAAAAAUAAAAAAAUUAGAUAACACCCAACUCCCCACUAACCACAUAAUCUCAACUUCCUCAGAAUCCCAACACCACCAAAACACUAACUCACCACCGA
Molecule: long non-coding RNA, 265 nt
Filed under: Gossypium raimondii (Peruvian cotton)
Lineage: Eukaryota; Viridiplantae; Streptophyta; Magnoliopsida; Malvales; Malvaceae
Description: long non-coding RNA (GRAI_LNC008287)
Source: RNAcentral